GUGAGGUGAGGUAAGGUAUGGUGGGGUGAGAUGAGAUGAGUUACGGUAUGGUGGGGUGAUGUGAGGUAUGGUGUGAUAGGGUGAGGUGAGAUAUGGUGGGGUGAGGUAUGGUGGGUGAGAUGUGGUAGGGUGAGGUGAGAUGAGGUAAGGUAUGGUGUCAUAGGGUGAGGUGAGGUAUGGUGGGUGAGGUGUGGUAGGGUAGGAUGAGGUGUGGUGAGGUGAGCUAUGGUGGGUGAGGUGUGGUAGGGUAGGGUGAGGUGUGGUGAGGUGAGCUAUGGUGGGUGAGGUGAGGUAUGGUGAGGUGAGGUAAGGUAUGGUGAGGUGAGGUGAGGUGUGGUGAGGUAAGGUAAGGUGGAGUGAGGUAAGGUAUGGUGGGGUGAGGUGAGGUAAGGUAUGGUGAGGUGUGGUAGCGUGAGGUGGGGUGAGGUAUGGUGAGAUAUUGUGUAUUAAGGUGGUCAGUAGGAUGGUAAAGGGUUGUAGGACGGGGUCAGUAGGAUGGUGUAGGGUUGUAGGACGGGGUCAGUAAGAUGGUGUAGGGUUGUAGGAUGGGGUCAGUAGGAUGGUAAAGGGUUGUAGGACGGGGUCAGUAAUAUGGUAAAGGGUUGUAGGACGGGGUCAGUAAGAUGGUGUAGGGUUGUAGGAUGGGGGUUGUAGGAUGGGGUCAGUAGGAUGGUAAAGGGUUGUAGGAUGGGGUCAGUAGGAUGGUGUAGGGUUGUAGGAUGGGGUCAGU
This 730-nucleotide long non-coding RNA is filed under the name Salmo salar (Atlantic salmon). Its description in RNAcentral is "lncRNA (ENSSSAG00000121740.1)". Lineage: Eukaryota; Metazoa; Chordata; Actinopteri; Salmoniformes; Salmonidae. The record is from RNAcentral.